This 1265-nucleotide ribosomal RNA is filed under the name Lactobacillus sp. Pa4. RNAcentral's name for it is "bacterial SSU rRNA". It matches the Rfam family "Bacterial small subunit ribosomal RNA", at positions 107 to 1359 of the family's 1533-position model. The record is from RNAcentral. Lineage: Bacteria; Bacillati; Bacillota; Bacilli; Lactobacillales; Lactobacillaceae.
UGAGUAACACGUGGGAAACCUGCCCAGAAGCGGGGGAUAACACCUGGAAACAGAUGCUAAUACCGCAUAACAACUUGGACCGCAUGGUCCGAGUUUGAAAGAUGGCUUCGGCUAUCACUUUUGGAUGGUCCCGCGGCGUAUUAGCUAGAUGGUGGGGUAACGGCUCACCAUGGCAAUGAUACGUAGCCGACCUGAGAGGGUAAUCGGCCACAUUGGGACUGAGACACGGCCCAAACUCCUACGGGAGGCAGCAGUAGGGAAUCUUCCACAAUGGACGAAAGUCUGAUGGAGCAACGCCGCGUGAGUGAAGAAGGGUUUCGGCUCGUAAAACUCUGUUGUUAAAGAAGAACAUAUCUGAGAGUAACUGUUCAGGUAUUGACGGUAUUUAACCAGAAAGCCACGGCUAACUACGUGCCAGCAGCCGCGGUAAUACGUAGGUGGCAAGCGUUGUCCGGAUUUAUUGGGCGUAAAGCGAGCGCAGGCGGUUUUUUAAGUCUGAUGUGAAAGCCUUCGGCUCAACCGAAGAAGUGCAUCGGAAACUGGGAAACUUGAGUGCAGAAGAGGACAGUGGAACUCCAUGUGUAGCGGUGAAAUGCGUAGAUAUAUGGAAGAACACCAGUGGCGAAGGCGGCUGUCUGGUCUGUAACUGACGCUGAGGCUCGAAAGUAUGGGUAGCAAACAGGAUUAGAUACCCUGGUAGUCCAUACCGUAAACGAUGAAUGCUAAGUGUUGGAGGGUUUCCGCCCUUCAGUGCUGCAGCUAACGCAUUAAGCAUUCCGCCUGGGGAGUACGGCCGCAAGGCUGAAACUCAAAGGAAUUGACGGGGGCCCGCACAAGCGGUGGAGCAUGUGGUUUAAUUCGAAGCUACGCGAAGAACCUUACCAGGUCUUGACAUACUAUGCAAAUCUAAGAGAUUAGACGUUCCCUUCGGGGACAUGGAUACAGGUGGUGCAUGGUUGUCGUCAGCUCGUGUCGUGAGAUGUUGGGUUAAGUCCCGCAACGAGCGCAACCCUUAUUAUCAGUUGCCAGCAUUAAGUUGGGCACUCUGGUGAGACUGCCGGUGACAAACCGGAGGAAGGUGGGGAUGACGUCAAAUCAUCAUGCCCCUUAUGACCUGGGCUACACACGUGCUACAAUGGAUGGUACAACGAGUUGCGAACUCGCGAGAGUAAGCUAAUCUCUUAAAGCCAUUCUCAGUUCGGAUUGUAGGCUGCAACUCGCCUACAUGAAGUCGGAAUCGCUAGUAAUCGCGGAUCAGCAUGCCG